AAAAAUAGCAAUGUAAGUUCAUACACACACACACAAAAACCCAAUGAUGUCCAAUUGUUGAAAAGUCUGUUCAUACAUUUCUAAGUGAAUACUGAUUAAUAUCAAACGCUAAGGUAUUUUGAUUCCACUAGAUACAUUUACAAGAUAACUGCUGUAUUUAAAAGUGUCUACAAUUACAUACUCAAAGUUGUAUCUUUUGCAACUAUUUAAACCCUUGAUUUUAAAAGUUUAGAUGGCAGUUUAAAAUGUGCUCAAUCCAGUUGUACCAGCAUUUUUUUUGUGUGGACCACUUAAACCAAGAUAACAAUUCAGUACUACCAAUAAUGGGAGAAAAAUUACAUUACAUUCCUCUUGAUAUGAUAUAGCAAGAAAUACAUAUCAUCACCCUAAGUAGUAUUCUUGCUAAAAAAAAAACAAAAAUACACUCCAAUUACUGGUUACACUAGUUCUGAUCAUGAGGAAGUAAUUAAAGCCAGACUGUAGAAUGCUUUACAAAAUAGCUAGCUCAUCAAAAAUGUCAAUGUCAUAAAAGUCUUCCCUGGAGACUGAAGAGACAUGACAACUAAAUGAAAUGUGUGAGCUUGGAAUAAAUUCUUCACCCAAAAAACCAAACCAAAACAAAACAAACAACAAACAGAGUAUAAAGGCAAUUAUUGGGCCAACUAGAUAAAUCUGAAGGGGAAAAAGAUACAGAGUGCUAAAUAUGUCCAAAUAUCAGUUAAGUGUUGAAUCUAGAUGAAGGAUAUAUGAAUGCUCAUUGUAUUAUUCUAUUUUCUGUAUAGAGUUGAAAAUUUUCAAAAUCAAAAGUUAAAAGGGUUGUACUAAAGCCAAAAUUUCAAGACUGCUGACAUAUACUAUAAGCAAAAAAAAAAAAAAUCCAUGAAACAAUUCAACAGUGAGUGAUUCAGGUUCCUCAGCAUGUCAGAUGAUAGAUCCUUUCUGCCUUUCAAAACAUCUCACAAAGGCUAUUCAUAUACAGUUCAAUAAAAAGUAAAGCCAAGUAUGAUGGAUCUCACAGAACUGUAGUAAGACCAGUUUCAUUAAUUAAGCAGAAGAGUCAGGAUUUGAACACCAAAACCCAUGUUUGUUCAUUCACAAUAUGCUAACUGUUAUUACACAGACACACUUUGUUGUUAUAGGAACAGGUUUGCUUUCAUGACACUCAUCAUUUUCAAAAUUACUAACAAAAUCUCUACAAACUUUCCAGGUUCUAUCAAAGAGAAUGAAAUGGACUGCUUUAUCCCCUUUCCCAAAUCAAUCCUAGAGAAAUUACAGGAACCACAAAGGAGCGAAAGAGUCAAGAACUCAGCCAUUCUGACUCCCAAACUCUACGCCAUUUCCUGCCUCCCAACCCCCACAACAGACAGUAAACUCAUUCUGUACAGGUUUUUGAUACUAAUAUUCUUUCAUGCAGUGAUAAGGAUUAUCUAUUGUAUAGUCUGCUAAGGAGUAUUUCAGAACCUCUUUUUGUUAUAGAACUAACUCGAGUUUGAUAGCUGGCUUCACCCUUUACUAGAUUUGUAUUCUUGGGCAAGUUUCUUAACCUCUCUGAACCUGUUUGCAUCUCUGUAAAAUGGUGAUAACAAUACCCACUUCCUAAGAUUAUAAAGAUUAAUGUACUAUACACUGAGAAAUGCUUAGCACAGCACUCAAGAUUUUAGCUACAGCAAGUAAUAUUGAUAGAAGCAGUACCACAAUAGCAGCAGCAGUGACUUGUUUCUAAGAGUUGAACUAUAUUAAUAAAAUUAGCUACAGGAAAGCUGCUUUUACUGGUCUGAUGUUUAGCUGAACAUUUGAUGUGCAAAUUAUAUGUACUACUGCUAUUCUAUUUAUUUUUCUUUUGACUUAACUAACCACAGAAUAGCUUGAUAGUAACAUACAGAUAUUAUUAAAAUUGUCCAAAUUUUGCAUACGAUAAAAAGUUACUUACUCUGGCGGAGGCAUUUUUGAGGGUUCCACAUCCCGCAGGAACUCACACUGAAGAGCCUGCUCUGCAGUGCAGCGCUUACUAGGAUCCAAGGCGAGCAUGUAAUCAAAUAAGUCUAGUGCGGCUGCAGGAAUACUGGCGUGAGAGGAUUACAAAAGUCAUGCGAGUGCUUUGACUCAAGUUUAAUGUUUCUGUAGGAGCUUAAACAUUAGCAUUUUGUAACAUGUUUGCAACAGUUUAUUCCAAUAAGUUACAAAUCUGCCUUUGAAGAACUGCUAUUUUUUACAUAAUUUUGUAAAUUAUUCUAAAUAAUUUGAAAACUGGCAAACAAUAGUGUAUUUACUACUCUGUGGGCAAUUUGCUGUUUUAACAUUAACUAAAAACUGAACAGAACAGUUUCCUACAACAAAAUAAAAAACUGAAUUCAAGUAUCUUGAAAACUGUUUCAUUAAAAUUUUAAAUGAUAUUGUUAAACUUCUCUCAGGUAAACACUAAAUCAAACACACAACCCCAAAUAACUGAUUUCACAAUGAUGGUGAAAUGCUUACUUGCAUGUAGCAAAGGGACAUUCAAAAUUAAAUGAUAUAGUAGAAUUGUGAUAGGUCUACCUUAGGUCAACAGAGGCUAGAGUGACAUUUAGAAUUCUAAAGAAGUAACUUUGUAAAAAAAAUCAAUGCAAUAUGGAUGUUUAAGCAUCCCCUUCUUACAAAACAAAUUCUUCUCUUAACUUUCGACGAUAUUGCUUCUUUGGUUUCAUGGUGUUGAAAUACGGUAGUUUGAUGACAUCAGGCCACACAGCAGGACAUGGACUCCCACAUAUACGGCUAAACAACACACAAAAAGAAGUACAUCAAUAUAAACUACAUGGAAAAAAUAAUACAUACAACUGCUAUACAAAACAACUCCUUUUUAAAUAUACAAAACCUGAAGUUCUGAUAUAAUGUAUAAAAGUUUCAUUAAAUAUUUUAGUCAUCCUAAAUAAACUGUUUUAAGAAUUUCUUUUCAGUGAAUGCUUCUAGCACUCUAUAAAUAUCCCAAUUUCUAACAAGAAAACCUUCAUAUUUGCAAAAUCAAAUCUUAAAGACACAGGUAAUAUUCAAAAGGUUGAGCAUAUUUGGAACCAAAAUUUUAAAUGUUUAUACCAACUGAGGAACUAGAGUUUAGUAUAUGUAUUCUCUGGUUUUGCAGGUACCUAUCAUUACCUCUUCUCAUGAAUAUAAUGAAGUCUGCAAUAACAGCAGAAAAGAUUUCCUACACUGAAGACACUAACUAAACCGUAUAGACUGCUGCUGAAUUUGAUCAACUAGAGAACCCUAAAAGUCACAUUCCUGAAACACAGUUCUUCAAUUUCAGUAGUGCCUCUAAUUUCAAGGUAUUUAGAACUUUUAACUGCUUUGAUCUCUGUAUCUUGAAAUCCCUCACUAUUCUUAUAGUAAGUCCUUCAUAAACUAAAGAAAUGCUGUAACAGAUAACUCUAGCUGAUAAACAUUUUAAAAUGCUUUGGUAGUAUGUAGAUGAAAAACUGGUUAAAUAUGCUUAACUCAAGUAUAUUGAAUCUCAAGAAUAAAUGUGUAUCUUAUGUAAAAUUACCAGCUGACCUUCAUAUAUAAAAAGAAAAGGUCCAUGCAUCACUGACUCAAAAGUUAAAAUAUUCUACACAUACAUAAAUACAUGUACUAAGGUACAGAAGCAACUGACAACUAAAGUUGCCAUUCUUCAGCAGACCUAAGAUCACUAAUACAUUAAAAACAUUUAUACCAGAUGAUGGGAGCAUUUUUAAAGCUGUGUCACUGAAACUGUAUUUGUUUCAAUACAGUUUAGGAUUUUUGUAUAUCCAAGCUUUUAAGAUCUUACUCUUCAAUAUGCCUAGCACUUCUUCCUUUCAAUCUCAUUCUCACAACUUCCUCAAAAGGAGAGAAGGCCAAACUCAGGAGCAUGGCUCUCUAUGAUCGGGUCCCAAAUUGUCUUCCUCAUUCUCAUCUUCCAAUUCAUCUCUCCACAGGCCAACCACUCCUCCAUGUCUUUGUUCAUACUCCUUUUUCCUAGAUUCUACCUAGCUGAAUUCUUUUCAUUCCUGAAGAUGCGCAUCAAAAAUAAUCUACUUACAAUGUUUUCUGUAUCCUCACUGUCCAGAAUAGGCACUUUCUACAUGCUCCUGAUUUCUUUUGACACUAUUUCAUCCUGCUUUACAUUUUAGUUGUUUACAUGACUUUAUCUUACUAAAUUAUGGUAACAGAAUCACUCUUGCACUUUCAUAUACUACAUAAAUAUAAAUAAUCAAUCCCUCGCAGAUUGAUGUGCACCAUAAUAGAAGCAUAAAAUACACUGGAAUAAAGAAAAUUAAGGAUACUUUUAAACUACAGAAAUAUAAGAAAAUGUACUUGAGUUAGAGAAGAGAUACAGAAUUUUGCCUACAACUCAAAGGAUAAGUAAACAAUAAACAGGUGGGAAAGGGAAUAAGAGAAAUAUGUUACUGGCAAAGACUAGUGCACAGGCAAAGUCAUGAAAAUAGCAAAGUAUAAACAUUCGGGAGGCAAAUCAAGGAAAGUGGUAUAGGUGGAAUUUGGGGCUACAGAGGUUUAUUUGGAAACACAGACAGGGGUAACACAACAGUCUUAUGAGGCAGAUUGCCUAACUACAAUGAAGACAGACUCUGAAAACAAACUUUAGACCUAAACGCUAUCUGUGUGAUAUUGGUGAAACUGUGCUGCUUAGAAUCUGUUGCUCUUUUGUAAAAUGGAGAUUCAUUUUAUUUCAGAGCUGUGAAAGUAAAUGAUCCAGCAUCUGGCUCAUUAACAGCCUUAUAAUAGAAAUCAGCUUCAUUAUCUCAUAACUAAAGACUUUUAUGUAUUCUGGGAAGAUAGUUGACUGGGAAAGUUAUCUAACUGGGAGCAGCAUACAGGAUGGAACACACGUUUCUAAGACAGGGAAAACUUUUAGAAAUUAGGGGAGCAGACAUGACAGCAAUUGAUAACUGCAUUUUAGCAAAAUCAGUGCCUGAUAAUCAAUUAGCUAUCCCUAAAUCAUUUCUGAAGACAUUCUGAAAUGCAUCAUAUGCUAAAUCCCUAAGUAUCUGAGAUCUUUUAUGGGAAUCUAUUUUGAUCUGAUUUAUCUAUUCUGAUGUCAAUAUCAUAUGAAAUUCGCUUUACAUUUUUCUUAAGACAAGACAAACUCCACUAUGUACUCAUCUCUCUAGUUAUCCUUUUCAGGAUUUCCUUACAGAUGAAUUGUAGAAUCAGUACUGUCACAUUCCGAAAGUAAGAGAAUCCUUGUUGGGAUUCAACACAGCUGCUCUGGAUUAAAGAACUGUGAUCUUUACAAAGCUUAAUGUUUCAAUUUUUAUAUUUCCUUUGGUUUUAUACAAGCAUCUCUCAUUUUACUACACUUCUCAUUUUUUAAUUUAAACAGAUUUCAAGUUUGUGGUAAGCUUGCGUCAGCAAGUCUACUGACACCAUCUUUUCAACAGCAUUUACUCACUUCAUGUCUCUGCGUCACAUUCUGGUAAUUCUCAGUUAUCUCAAAUCCUCCUUCACAAGAAGUUUACAACUUGCUCAAGGCUCAAACGAUGAUAUCCUCCAAAUCACAAGGACACAAAAGCUGUAUCAGGAAAUUCCCCAGAAAGGCUGUAUUCCAAGCCAAGCCACCUAAGGUCAGCUUAAACUUGGACCAGUCUGGGUUUGAGACCAAGGACUUGGUCAAUCUUCUAUAUCACUUAAUACGCAGCCAACAGGUAUUACCUGGGUCAGUGUUUGGAAUAUACUUCGAGCUGACAGACAUGAUGACCGACUUGGAAGGCAUGUGAAGAAAGACAGCAAAUCUUCCAAUCUGAAUCCUUAAAUGACUGUGUGAAGCAGAGUAAACAGUUAAUCUAAUAAUAUGGUAAAAUACUCUCAAUUUUGCAUCAAGGUAAAGUAACAACUAUUCCAGAUUACUGAGGGAGAAAUACAAACUUCUUAUUCUUUAAACCACUGAAUUUUGAGGUUCUCUUUGUUAUAAAUUUAGUUUAUCCUAAUUAAUAAGUCAUUUAUUCCGUUCCUUAAGCAGAAAUCUUACCACAGGGGUGAAGGCAGGAAUAUGUCUACC
This is a long non-coding RNA of Cervus elaphus (red deer), 6010 nucleotides long. RefSeq lists it as uncharacterized. Lineage: Eukaryota; Metazoa; Chordata; Mammalia; Artiodactyla; Cervidae. The transcript has 4 exons. The record is from RefSeq and is a predicted model, not a curated record.